Molecule: long non-coding RNA, 1018 nt
Filed under: Equus caballus (horse)
Lineage: Eukaryota; Metazoa; Chordata; Mammalia; Perissodactyla; Equidae
Description: lncRNA (ENSECAG00000058464.1)
Source: RNAcentral
CAAAUGCCUUAGCAAGAUAAGGAAUCCAAGUUGAAGAGAGUUUUAAGUCGGAGAAUAACAAAAGUCAACUUACACGUUGAAAAUUUUGUCCUGUUUGUAGGGGAAGAAUCAGUAAAGGUUUGAAUUUAAGAUCAAAGGGAGCAGCUAGAACACGUUUAAUCCAUGACAGAUAUGAGAACCAAUGUUAAGGAAAUAUCAAUGGGAUUGAAGACAAUUGGGGGCAAUUUGGAAAGACCAGAAGGAGGCUAGGAGCCCACUGCUGCUAGGAGAGAGCAUUCUCUCAGAUGUCAAAGACGUUGACAAAGCCGAUGGUGGGAUAUUCCUGUCUUGUUUCUAGAAGAGCAAGGAGGAAGGCCAAUGAGUCGGAGCAAAGCAAACAGGACGCGGAAUUCCGAGCAGAGUGAAGACACUGAGUGAAAGCUCCGAGGUCAGAGAUGGAACAGCUCAUUCAAGAACUUUCGAUCACACAUUUAGAUAAUUCUCCAUGACUGAGUCACUCUAUCAACACCUUGGAAUUAAAAAGAGAACCUUGGUGUCAACGGCAUAAAUAUUUGCGAUUUCAACUUUUUGAAUAGUUUGCAAAAAUCCAUGCUGGAAUCUUUAAAAGACUAGGCAAGUAUGACACUGACAAAGAAGAAACAAGCAAAAACUAUGCCAGAGGGAGGAUUAAACACACCAUCCUUUUCCAGUGGUACAACACUGUGAUCACACAGCAUUUUGUGAAUAACUUCCAAGACUCUACAAAACUAUUGAGUGCUUCAGCCCCCAUAUCAUGGUUGUAUUUCCUUUUGGCAGCUGUUAUCCUUAUUAGCCUUGUGAUGUUGAUGAUUCUCUGGAUGCUCUUUUUGGCUCAGUUACGUUUUGGCUUAUUCUUCCUCAGGACGAGCCAGAGCCAAGCCAGAGCAGUGACCUCAGAGCAAACCAGGGUAGAAAUUUGUCUGGCUAUUUCAUGGAAUGCAUGCUUAAUAACUACCAUAUUUUAAAAGCAUAGAAAUAAUAACAAUUUAAAGUUUUGUAA